AGGGGUAUAGUUAAUUAUAACAUUUGGGUUGCAUCUAAAAAGUAUUGAAAUAUUCAAUUAUCCUUA
This 66-nucleotide transfer RNA is filed under the name Ochrophlegma sp. TAMUIC IGC OR279. Its description in RNAcentral is "tRNA-Ala". The record is from RNAcentral. Lineage: Eukaryota; Metazoa; Arthropoda; Insecta; Orthoptera; Pyrgomorphidae.